ACCUGGGUGGCUCAGUCGGUUGAGCAUCAGACUUUGACUCAGGUCAUGAUCUCCCAGUUUGUGGGUUCGAGCCCCGCAUCGGGCU
This 85-nucleotide transfer RNA is filed under the name Felis catus (domestic cat). It matches the Rfam family "tRNA". From Rfam's summary of the family: Transfer RNA (tRNA) molecules are approximately 80 nucleotides in length. Their secondary structure includes four short double-helical elements and three loops (D, anti-codon, and T loops). The record is from Rfam by way of RNAcentral. Lineage: Eukaryota; Metazoa; Chordata; Mammalia; Carnivora; Felidae.